This 468-nucleotide ribosomal RNA is filed under the name uncultured bacterium. Its description in RNAcentral is "partial 16S ribosomal RNA". It matches the Rfam family "Bacterial small subunit ribosomal RNA", at positions 28 to 507 of the family's 1533-position model. The record is from RNAcentral.
GACGAACGCUGGCGGCGUGCUUAACACAUGCAAGUCGAACGGAAAGGCCCUGCUUUUGUGGGGUGCUCGAGUGGCGAACGGGUGAGUAACACGUGAGUAACCUGCCCUUGACCUUGGGAUAACUUCAGGAAACUGGGGCUAAUACCGGAUAGGAGCUCCUGCUGCAUGGUGGGGGUUGGAAAGUUUCGGCGGUUGGGGAUGGACUCGCGGCUUAUCAGCUUGUUGGUGGGGUAGUGGCUUACCAAGGCUUUGACGGGUAGCCGGCCUGAGAGGGUGACCGGCCACAUUGGGACUGAGAUACGGCCCAGACUCCUCCGGGAGGCAGCAGUGUGGAAUAUUGCACAAUGGGCGGAAGCCUGAUGCAGCAACGCCGCGUGCGGGAUGACGGCCUUCGGGUUGUAAACCGCUUUCGCCUGUGACGAAGCGUGAGUGACGGUAAUGGGUAAAGAAGCACCGGCUAACUACGUG